Molecule: long non-coding RNA, 308 nt
Organism: Vitis vinifera (wine grape)
Lineage: Eukaryota; Viridiplantae; Streptophyta; Magnoliopsida; Vitales; Vitaceae
Exons: 2
Source: RefSeq, a predicted model, not a curated record
UGGUCUUUCAUUGCCUGAAUUCUACUAAAAUGCCACUAACUCGACAUAGAAGAAUUCAGUUCCCACAGCUUAGUUUUUUUUAUCUUUGCUUUUUAGGAAAAAGAAAAGAAAAGAAAAAGAAAAAAAAAAAAAGCCGUACUUGGAAAAUGCUAACCAAACAGUACCUAAGUCUACAACCAAACUCUCAAUCUUUUGGGAAGUAAAAAAAGAAAAGUGCCAGAUCACUUUCUUCAACAUCCUUUCUAAAAAUUAGAUUCCUCUGAAAGCCGCCAUAAAAGGCUACUAGCUCUUAUCGAAAAAUAAGAAAA